GGUUUUAUGGGGUAGUGGUUAGCCCCUGGGAUUUUGACACCAAUCUUCCCAAGACCCCGGUUCGAAUCCGGGUAAAACCU
This is a non-coding RNA of Clathrus columnatus, 80 nucleotides long. The record is from the annotation of a GenBank genome assembly. Lineage: Eukaryota; Fungi; Basidiomycota; Agaricomycetes; Phallales; Clathraceae.